GACGAACGCUGGCGGCGUGCCUAAUACAUGCAAGUAGAACGCUGAAGGAGGAGCUUGCUUCUCUGGAUGAGUUGCGAACGGGUGAGUAACGCGUAGGUAACCUGCCUGGUAGCGGGGGAUAACUAUUGGAAACGAUAGCUAAUACCGCAUAAGAGUAGAUGUUGCAUGACAUUUGCUUAAAAGGUGCAAUUGCAUCACUACCAGAUGGACCUGCGUUGUAUUAGCUAGUUGGUGAGGUAACGGCUCACCAAGGCAACGAUACAUAGCCGACCUGAGAGGGUGAUCGGCCACACUGGGACUGAGACACGGCCCAGACUCCUACGGGAGGCAGCAGUAGGGAAUCUUCGGCAAUAGACGGAAGUCUGACCGAGCAACGCCGCGUGAGUGAAGAAGGGUUUCGGAUCGUAAAGCUCGGUUGUAAGAGAAGAACGAGUGUGAGAGUGGAAAGUUCACACUGUGACGGUAUCUUACCAGAAAGGGACGGCUAACUACGUG
RNAcentral lists this ribosomal RNA (495 nucleotides) under uncultured bacterium. RNAcentral's name for it is "partial 16S ribosomal RNA". It matches the Rfam family "Bacterial small subunit ribosomal RNA", at positions 28 to 507 of the family's 1533-position model. The record is from RNAcentral.